GCCAGACUCCUACGGGAGGCAGCAGUGGGGAAUAUUGGGCAAUGGGCGCAAGCCUGACCCAGCAACGCCGCGUGAAGGAAGAAGGCUUUCGGGUUGUAAACUUCUUUUAAGAGGGAAGAGAAGAAGACGGUACCUCUUGAAUAAGCCACGGCUAACUACGUGCCAGCAGCCGCGGUAAUACGUAGGUGGCAAGCGUUGUCCGGAUUUACUGGGUGUAAAGGGCGUGCAGCCGGGAAGACAAGUCAGAUGUGAAAACCAUGGGCUCAACCUGUGGCCUGCAUUUGAAACUGUUUUUCUUGAGUACUGGAGAGGCAGACGGAAUUCCUAGUGUAGCGGUGAAAUGCGUAGAUAUUAGGAGGAACACCAGUGGCGAAGGCGGUCUGCUGGACAGCAACUGACGCUGAGGCGCGAAAGCGUGGGGAGCAAACAGGAUUAGAUACCCGCGUAUU
RNAcentral lists this ribosomal RNA (449 nucleotides) under uncultured bacterium. RNAcentral describes it as "bacterial SSU rRNA". It matches the Rfam family "Bacterial small subunit ribosomal RNA", at positions 330 to 794 of the family's 1533-position model. The record is from RNAcentral.